UNUGACUUGAGUGCAGAAGGGGAGAGUGGAAUUCCAUGUGUAGCGGUGAAAUGCGUAGAUAUAUGGAGGAACACCAGUGGCGAAAGCGGCUCUCUGGUCUGUCACUGACGCUGAGGCUCGAAAGCGUGGGUAGCGAACAGGAUUAGAUACCCUGGUAGUNCACGCCGUAAACGAUGAGUGCUAGGUGUUAGGCCCUUUCCGGGGCUUAGUGCCGGAGCUAACGCAAUAAGCACUCCGCCUGGGGAGUACGACCGCAAGGUUGAAACUCAAAGGAAUUGACGGGGGCCCGCACAAGCGGUGGAGCAUGUGGUUUAAUUCGAAGCAACGCGAAGAACCUUACCAGGUCUUGACAUUCCGAUGCUAUUCUUAGAGAUAGGAAGUUACUUCGGUACAUCGGAGACAGGUGGUGCAUGGUUGUCGUCAGCUCGUGUCGUGAGAUGUUGGGUUAAGUCCCGCAACGAGCGCAACCCUUAUUGUUAGUUGCCAUCAUUAAGUUGGGCACUCUAGCGAGACUGCCGGUAAUAAACCGGAGGAAGGUGGGGAUGACGUCAAAUCAUCAUGCCCCUUAUGACCUGGGCUACACACGUGCUACAAUGGUCGGUACAACGAGUUGCGAGCCGGUGACGGCAAGCUAAUCUCUGAAAGCCGAUCUCAGUUCGGAUUGGAGGCUGCAACUCGCCUCCAUGAAGUCGGAAUCGCUAGUAAUCGCGGAUCAGCACGCCGCGGUGAAUACGUUCCCGGGCCUUGUACACACCGCCCGUCACACCACGAGAGUUUGUAACACCCGAAGUCAGUGAGGUAACCU
Molecule: ribosomal RNA, 805 nt
Filed under: uncultured bacterium
Lineage: Bacteria
Description: bacterial SSU rRNA
Rfam family: Bacterial small subunit ribosomal RNA
Source: RNAcentral